This 257-nucleotide ribosomal RNA is filed under the name uncultured bacterium. RNAcentral's name for it is "partial 16S ribosomal RNA". It matches the Rfam family "Bacterial small subunit ribosomal RNA", at positions 524 to 777 of the family's 1533-position model. The record is from RNAcentral.
UACGGAGGGUGCAAGGCGUUAUCCGGAUUUACUGGGUUUAAAGGGAGCGUAGGUGGGUCGGUAAGUCAGUGGUGAAAUCUUCGGAGCUUAACUCGGAAACUGCCAUUGAUACUAUCGAUCUUGAAUUAUCCGGAGGUAAGCGGAAUAUGUCAUGUAGCGGUGAAAUGCUUAGAUAUGACAUAGAACACCCAUUGCGAAGGCAGCUUACUACGGAUAUAUUGACACUGAGGCUCGAAAGCGUGGGGAGUCAAACAGGA